Molecule: non-coding RNA, 30 nt
Filed under: Macaca fascicularis (crab-eating macaque)
Lineage: Eukaryota; Metazoa; Chordata; Mammalia; Primates; Cercopithecidae
Also listed under: 1 other name
Source: RNAcentral
UGCAAUUCUUCUGCCCUUGCAUCUUCCUCC